Molecule: unclassified non-coding RNA, 271 nt
Filed under: uncultured fungus
Lineage: Eukaryota; Fungi
Description: sequence contains ITS1, 5.8S rRNA gene
Rfam family: 5.8S ribosomal RNA (bases 223-271)
Source: RNAcentral
UUUCCGUAGGUGAACCUGCGGAAGGAUCAUUAUCGAGUUAGGGUCUUCUAGGCCCGACCUCCCAACCCUUUGUCUACUUGACCUAAUGUUGCUUCGGCGAGCCCGUCCUUUUGGGGACCGCCGGAGGACCGUAAAAUGUCCUCUGGUCCGCGCUCGUCGGUGGCCAACCACAAAAUCUUUGUUAAAUGUAUCUUCUAAGUCAAAAUUUUUAAUUAAAAGCAAAACUUUCAACAACGGAUCUCUUGGUUCUGGCAUCGAUGAAGAACGCAGC